CGCACCUUGCGCUCCUUGGUAUUCCGAGGAGCAUGCCUGUUUGAGUGUCAUUAAAUUCUCAACCUUACUGAUUUGUUUCAAUGUGAGGCUUGGAUUUGGAGUGUGCUGGUCCCUGCGGAGGGGUCGGCUCCUCUUGAAAUGUAUCAGCGGAGUCUUCUUUGACUUCUGGUAUCAGUGUGAUAAUCAUGUUGCGCUGUCAGCCGGGGGUCCCAAGUCCGCUUAUAAUUGUCUUCGGACGACUUAUCAAAUCUUGACCUCAAAUCAGGUAGGAUUACCCGCUGAACUUAA
RNAcentral lists this unclassified non-coding RNA (288 nucleotides) under Byssocorticium sp. RNAcentral's name for it is "partial contains 5.8S ribosomal RNA, internal transcribed spacer 2, and large subunit ribosomal RNA". The record is from RNAcentral. Lineage: Eukaryota; Fungi; Basidiomycota; Agaricomycetes; Atheliales; Atheliaceae.